RNAcentral lists this transfer RNA (57 nucleotides) under Bos taurus (domestic cattle). It matches the Rfam family "tRNA", at positions 8 to 63 of the family's 71-position model. Rfam says of the family: Transfer RNA (tRNA) molecules are approximately 80 nucleotides in length. Their secondary structure includes four short double-helical elements and three loops (D, anti-codon, and T loops). The record is from Rfam by way of RNAcentral. Lineage: Eukaryota; Metazoa; Chordata; Mammalia; Artiodactyla; Bovidae. RNAcentral also lists the same sequence under 6 other names.
UAGUUCAGUCGGUAAAGAAUCUGCCUGCAAUGCAGGAGACCCAGGUUCGAUUCCUGG